RNAcentral lists this unclassified non-coding RNA (741 nucleotides) under Hevea brasiliensis (rubber tree). Lineage: Eukaryota; Viridiplantae; Streptophyta; Magnoliopsida; Malpighiales; Euphorbiaceae. The record is from RNAcentral.
GUCGUAAUUUGUUGCAAUUUGGAGUUUCGGAUUUGGGAUUUUUCGUUGGGUUCUAGGUUUUGAAGUUUGAUUUCAACUAUUCCUUGAUCAAAUUUUGUCUCUUUGGCGUGAUUUAGGGUUUUUUUUUCUUCUUUUUUUUUGGUCGCCGAGAUGGUGAGUUCGGAGGGAUUGAAUUCAUCACAGCCACCGAAGCAAUACGGCGUAACGAAACCGAUAUCUAUGUUGGGGCCAACGGAUGCUGAUAUGCAAAGAAGCCGCGAAUUGGAGAAGUUCUUGAGUGAUGAUGGCCUUUAUGAGAGCAAAGAGGAAGCCGCAAAGAGGGAGGAGGUUCUGGGUCGGAUUGGGCAGAUUGUAAAAGAUUGGGUGAAGCAGCUUAGGGUACACGGAUCAAAUGGUGGAGGAUGCCAAUGCUGUCAUUUUCACUUUUGGCUCUUAUCGGCUUGGGGUACACGGUCCUGGAGCUGACAUUGACACAUUAUGUGUUGGACCGUCUUAUAUCAAUAGAGAGGAAGACUUCUUCUUUGUAUUGCACAACAUGUUGUCUGAAAUGGAAGAAGUUACAGAGCUGCAACCAGUUCCAGAUGCUCAUGUACCUGUGAUGAAAUUCAAGUUUGAUGGAAUAUCGAUUGAUCUUCUUUAUGCUAGUAUUUCUCUUUUGGUGGUACCGGAUGACUUGGACAUCUCGGAUGUUUCUGUUCUAUAUGAUGUUGAUGAGCCUACUGUUCGAAGUCUCAAUGGCUG